Molecule: long non-coding RNA, 2319 nt
Filed under: Helianthus annuus (common sunflower)
Lineage: Eukaryota; Viridiplantae; Streptophyta; Magnoliopsida; Asterales; Asteraceae
Description: hypothetical non coding rna
Source: RNAcentral
CUGCGUUUGAAAUUCUACUCCUAUUGUCGAUUUCGAAUUCGGGUAGAACUCGUCUCUAGCAAAUCUAGCAAGCAAGUUUGACUUUCCAACAGCCGAGUCGCCGAUUAACACGAUCUUAAACAGGUAAUCGUCGCCGGAAUCCUCUUGAGAAUAAAACGCCAUCUCCUAUGAUAUAAUGUUAUGAAUAUGAUACCAUUACAUGUAUUGAUAUAUCAGUAUAUCGCUUGUUAAAAAUGCAACCUCCAGAAUUCAAAUCCUGUGAAGCAUCAAACUUUACCUAAUCAGCACGGUCUAAUAAUUAAAGUUUUUAUUUUAAAUGGGCAAAAGACUAUAGAAAACUUCAAAGGCAAGACAAGUAAGCAAGGUAUCUUAACAAGUCCUCAAACUUUUGCAAACACAACUCACAUUAUUAAAACUUUUAAGGUAUUUCUUUUAGAAGUGGCAAUAUUCACACGUCUAUUUAUAGGCUGACUCAGGUUAUGUUGUAUCUCUAACAAGUAAUAUAGAAAAAAUAGCUUGAAAAGCAUAGGGUCCAAUAUUAAACAUAUAGAUUAGGUCAUAACUCACACAUAGUGUAAUUUUAGCGCAUAAAACCUCCUAAAUAAUUUCAUUAAAAACUUAUGAGUAAAAUGCAAUUUUUGUCCCUGAGCUUUGAUAUCGUUUGAUUACACAAGCUAAUCUUAAUCCUCAAGUAAACUGAGACCAAAAAGUGUGUUACUGUUACGUAACCAAAACCGAAAUUUACACAGAUAACCAAGCAAAUAAUAUAACUUAUGAUAAAAAUCAAGUAUUUAAUUGAAGCACAGAUUGACAACAAAAGUAACAUCAAUAUGCUGGAAGAAGCUGUAUACGAUAAGUUUUCAGAACACUCAUUGGUAGUUGUCUGGUCCACAUUAUCAACAACCAGUAGUUAAUAAUACAAACUUAGUGUAUUUGCUAGGCUACCGAACAAUAUAAAGUCGGGCAUGGUUACAGCCUGCAAGAAUUGAAAGGUUCACAGAACCAGACCCAGACCGAUUUAUUGCGCAAAUGGCGUGUAGGGUCGCGCUAUCGUCAUAAAUUUGUUGUAAUACCCUCAAAAAAGUAUAUAAUGCACCAUAACAGAAAAGGUCAAGAGAUCUGAAAACUGAUGUGAUGUGCCAAUAGAAUCAAGCAUCAUAGACAUAAAGUAUGAUGGCCAUGACAACUCAAAUUAACUAGAAUUUCAGAUAAUAUGUAAGCAAGGACCACAUCGUCUGUAUUAAGUAUACAAAAUCAAUCAUUGAGACUCUUGGCCAUCUGUUUCAAUAUGCUACUAUCCAAAACACAAGAGAAAAAACAGAAAAUAGAACCAUUUUCUGCAUUUUCUGAUACUUUUUCCUGUCAAUUUAUCUAUCAAACAAAAUGCAUGCUCACAUCAACUUAAACCUUUUUUUAACGGCCUAACUUAUAUUAAAAAAAAAACCGAUCUAGUAAGAAACCAGACAUAACGAGACACAAUUACAAACAGAUCCAGGAAAACGACCCUCACAUCAAUUUAAACCAUUUUUUUAACGGCCAAACUUACAUUAAACAAAGACAGAACGAGACACAAUUACAAACCGAUCCAGGAAAACGACCCUCACGUUAAUUUAAACCUUUUUAACGGCUAAACUUACAUCGAAAACCGGUCUAGUAAGAAACUAGACAGAACGAGACACAGUUACAAACUGAUCCAGGAAAACGACCCUCACAUUAAUUUAAACCUUUAAUUAUGUUUUUAAAUCCAUUUCCUAAAAACCAAACAAACAAUAUCAGCUAAAUCAACUAUUAUUAAGAUUAUUAAGAUCUACAGUUUGUGAUUCGAAACCUAAUUUCAUAAUCAAAUCAUUCCGAUCAAAAUCUCAAAUUUAAGUCAAACAUUAUUCACAAAAAGGUCAACGUUGCUGAAUUUCCGAACAAUCCCGCAAAACAAGCAUAUCUACACAAAUUCUACAAUAACUAACAAAAUAAAGUCAAAAUUAAAGUCAAAAUCAUGUUAUGCUUCCGAUAUACACUCUAUAAAGAUCUAACACAUUUGAAUUCAACAAAUCUGAAUUGACUAAACUUACGAUAGAUAAAUUAAACAGCUUACCUGCAACUUUUUAACUGCUUUGAGCCGCUGAAAAUGUAGAUCGAAGAACGGAGACGAGUAUAACGAGGGAAUAAAUGCAGAUUGUUACGAUUUUUCUGAAGAAUUUAUGGUAUAUUUGAUGAAUUAGGGUUCCAUUAAAUUAAAGAAGAAUGAAGAACGAUGAAGAAACAGGUAGAUUUACAGGUGCAGGAAGACACGUCUGCGUGAAUGGGCCGCCAACUGGGCUU